AAGAGACAGCAGUCGCCGCGGUAAUACGAGGGGGGCAAGCGUUGUUCGGAAUUAUUGGGCGUAAAGGGUGCGUAGGCGGUUUGGCAAGUUUGGUGUGAAAUCUUCGGGCUCAACUCGAAGUCUGCAUCGAAAACUGCCGGGCUUGAGUAUGGGAGAGGUGAGUGGAAUUUCCGGUGUAGCGGUGAAAUGCGUAGAUAUCGGAAGGAACACCUGUGGCGAAAGCGGCUCACUGGACCAUAACUGACGCUGAUGCACGAAAGCUAGGGGAGCAAACAGGAUUAGAUACCCGCGUAGUCCCUGUCUCUUAUAC
Molecule: ribosomal RNA, 310 nt
Filed under: uncultured bacterium
Lineage: Bacteria
Description: partial 16S ribosomal RNA
Rfam family: Bacterial small subunit ribosomal RNA
Source: RNAcentral